Molecule: ribosomal RNA, 463 nt
Filed under: uncultured bacterium
Lineage: Bacteria
Description: SSU rRNA
Rfam family: Bacterial small subunit ribosomal RNA
Source: RNAcentral
AGGACGAACGCUGGCGGCGUGCUUAAUACAUGCAAGUCUAAGGGGUUACUUCCCUUCGGGGAAGUGAUCACUGGCGCACGGGUGAGUAACACGUAAGUAAUCUGCCCUCGGGUCUGACAUAACUCCGGGAAACCGGAGCUAAUAGCAGAUGACAUGGAGACAUCAAAGGUUUCGACUGCCCGGGGAUGAGCUUGCGUCUGAUUAGCUAGUUGGCGGGGUAAUGGCCCACCAAGGCGACGAUCAGUAGCCGGUCUGAGAGGAUGAUCGGCCACAUUGGGACUGAGACACGGCCCCAGACUCCUACGGGAGGCAGCAGUAAGGAAUAUUGGACAAUGGGGGCAACCCUGAUCCAGCCAUGCCGCGUGAGUGAUGAAGGCCUUCGGGUUGUAAAGCUCGUUUUGGCGGGGACGAUGAUGACGGUACCCGCAGAAUAAGCCCCGGCUAACUUCGUGCCAGCAGCCGC